This 636-nucleotide long non-coding RNA is filed under the name Mytilus galloprovincialis (Mediterranean mussel). The record is from RNAcentral. Lineage: Eukaryota; Metazoa; Mollusca; Bivalvia; Mytilida; Mytilidae.
AAUGAGUAAACAGAACUGUGAAUAGUUAAAAUGACAGUUUUUUUGUUGCAUAACAUGUUAUCUAGAUUUUAUUAAUCAAUAUUUGAUUAUUAACAAAAAUAUACUACUGAUAAUCAUUAUAUAUUUCUUAGUUUAUUCUUUGUUUAGUGGCUAAAAUAUGAAAUGUAACGUAUAUUUCAAAAGAGUUUAGUUAUUCAAUAUUGACAUAUUUCUUUUACAUUGAAUAUUGACAUAUUUCUUUUACAUUGAAUAUUGACAUAUUUCGUUUAUAUUGAAUAUCAUGUAUAUGAUAUAUUUGCACAUCUUCCUCAACUACAUGAAUUAUGUCGGAUUCAUGUCCAUUGAAUGAUUAAAUUGCUUCUUGUUGUCUUCUAAUUAUUUUUAUAGAUUAAAUAAGAAACUAAGUUCACCGUAUGGAAAUCCGAUGUCGUGUUUUGAUGUCUUAUUAUUUUAAAGUAAACAGUUUAAUUUACUAUUUGUUUGUAUGUUGUUUGCUGGUGUGAAAUUUACAUUGUUUAUAAUAAAACAAGCGUCAUCUAUUGAUGUUACUUUGAUAGUUGUGUAGCUUACUCAAGGAAUUAUGUUUUCACAUAUAAAUUGGCUUCUGUUCAUUUUAUUUUUAGUUAUCAGAUUGCU